This 165-nucleotide ribosomal RNA is filed under the name uncultured bacterium. RNAcentral's name for it is "partial 16S ribosomal RNA". It matches the Rfam family "Bacterial small subunit ribosomal RNA", at positions 355 to 511 of the family's 1533-position model. The record is from RNAcentral.
UAGGGAAUCUUCCACAAUGGACGAAAGUCUGAUGGAGCAACGCCGCGUGAGUGAAGAAGGGUUUUCGGCUCGUAAAACUCUGUUGUUAAAGAAGAACAUAUCUGAGAGUAACUGUUCAGGUAUUGACGGUAUUUAACCAGAGAGCCACGGCUAACUACGUGCCAG